RNAcentral lists this unclassified non-coding RNA (147 nucleotides) under soil metagenome. RNAcentral's name for it is "partial internal transcribed spacer 1". The record is from RNAcentral.
CCGAGUUUACAACUCCCAAACCCCUGUGAACAUACCACUUGUUGCCUCGGCGGAUCAGCCCGCUCCCGGUAAAACGGGACGGCCCGCCAGAGGACCCCUGAACUCUGUCUCUAUAUGUAACUUCUGAGUAAAACCAUAAAUAAAUCA